CUCACUCACAUAUUGUCUGUGGCUGCUUUUGUACUCAACAACUGUACUGAGGAGUUGUGACGGAGACAAAGGGACCACAAAGCUGAAAAUAUUUACUACCUGGCAAUUUACAAAAUUUCAGAAUUGCCUGGGUGGAACGAUUGCUUUCCUGUGCCAGGUACUUUGUAGGGGGCUGUACCUACAGUCUCAUUCAAUCAGCCUUACAAUGAUAAGAGGUUUAUCCAGGAAGAGACCAACCAAGUCCCAGACGAGCUCUGCCCACAUCAAGCGAGCUUCUGGAACGUGGCGGAAUGCUGC
This is a long non-coding RNA of Homo sapiens (human), 297 nucleotides long. RefSeq lists it as uncharacterized. The transcript has 3 exons. The record is from RefSeq and is a predicted model, not a curated record. Lineage: Eukaryota; Metazoa; Chordata; Mammalia; Primates; Hominidae.